GUCUAUGGCUAUACCACCCUGAGCACACCCGAUCUAGUCUAAUCUCUGAAGCUAAGCAGGGUUGGGCCUGGUUAGUACUUGGAUGGGAGAUCAUCUGGGAAUACUUUAGAGGUUAAUAAUC
This 121-nucleotide ribosomal RNA is filed under the name Erinaceus europaeus (western European hedgehog). The record is from RNAcentral. Lineage: Eukaryota; Metazoa; Chordata; Mammalia; Eulipotyphla; Erinaceidae.